RNAcentral lists this ribosomal RNA (421 nucleotides) under uncultured bacterium. RNAcentral describes it as "bacterial SSU rRNA". It matches the Rfam family "Bacterial small subunit ribosomal RNA", at positions 954 to 1372 of the family's 1533-position model. The record is from RNAcentral.
GCAGAACGCGAAGAACCUUACCAGGUCUUGACAUCCAGAGAACUUUCCAGAGAUGGAUUGGUGCCUUCGGGAACUCUGAGACAGGUGCUGCAUGGCUGUCGUCAGCUCGGGUCGUGAGAUGUUGGGUUAAGUCCGUAACGAGCGCAACCCGUUGUCCUUAGUUACCAGCACGUCAUGGUGGGCACUCGUAAGGAGACUGCCGGUGACAAACCGGAGGAAGGUGGGGAUGACGUCAAGUCAUCAUGGCCCUUACGGCCUGGGCUACACACGUGCUACAAUGGUCGGUACAGAGGGUUGCCAAGCCGCGAGGUGGAGCUAAUCUCACAAAACCGAUCGUAGUCCGGAUCGCAGUCUGCAACGUCGACUGCGUGAAGUCGGAAUCGCUAGUAAUCGCGAAUCAGAAUGUCGCGGUGAAUACGUU